CUACGGGWGGCWGCAGUAGGGAAUCUUCCGCAAUGGGCGAAAGCCUGACGGAGCAAUGCCGCGUGAGUGAUGAAGGUUUUCGGAUCGUAAAGCUCUGUUGCCAGGGAAGAACGCUUGGGAGAGUAACUGCUCUCAAGGUGACGGUACCUGAGAAGAAAGCCCCGGCUAACUACGUGCCAGCAGCCGCGGUAAUACGUAGGGGGCAAGCGUUGUCCGGAAUUAUUGGGCGUAAAGCGCGCGCAGGCGGUCAUUUAAGUCUGGUGUUUAAUCCCGGGGCUCAACCCCGGAUCGCACUGGAAACUGGGUGACUUGAGUGCAGAAGAGGAGAGUGGAAUUCCACGUGUAGCGGUGAAAUGCGUAGAUAUGUGGAGGAACACCAGUGGCGAAGGCGACUCUCUGGGCUGUAACUGACGCUGAGGCGCGAAAGCGUGGGGAGCAAACAGGAUUAGAUACCCCUAGUAGUCA
RNAcentral lists this ribosomal RNA (465 nucleotides) under Paenibacillus mobilis. Its description in RNAcentral is "bacterial SSU rRNA". Lineage: Bacteria; Bacillati; Bacillota; Bacilli; Caryophanales; Paenibacillaceae. The record is from RNAcentral.